UCCCGAGUGGAAGGACCAUCGCUCACGGAUAAAAGUACGCGGGAUACAGCUGGAUACUGCCCAAGAGUCAUAUCGACGCAGUGUUUGGCACCUCGAUGUCGGCUCAUCUCAUCCUGGGGCUGGAGCAGGUCCCAAGGGUAUGGCUGUCGCCAUUUAAAGAGGUACGUGAGCUGGGUUUAGAACGUCGUGAGACAGUUCGGUCCCUAUCUGCCGUGGGUGUAGGAGACUUGAUGGGAGUUGCCCCUAGUACGAGAGGACCGGGGUGAACGAUCCACUGGUGGAUCUGUUGUUGCGCCAGCAGCAGUGCAGAGUAGCUAUGAUCGGACGGGAUAUCCGCUGAAGGCAUCUAAG
This 351-nucleotide ribosomal RNA is filed under the name uncultured alpha proteobacterium EB080_L27A02. Its description in RNAcentral is "bacterial LSU rRNA". It matches the Rfam family "Bacterial large subunit ribosomal RNA", at positions 2427 to 2785 of the family's 2925-position model. The record is from RNAcentral. Lineage: Bacteria; Pseudomonadati; Pseudomonadota; Alphaproteobacteria.